AACGAACGCUGGCGGCAUGCCUAACACAUGCAAGUCGAACGAGACCUUCGGGUCUAGUGGCGCACGGGUGCGUAACGCGUGGGAACCUGCCCUUAGGUUCGGCAUAACUCCCCGACAGGGGUGCUAAUACCGGAUAAUGUCUUCGGACCAAAGAUUUAUCGCCUUUGGAUGGGCCCGCGUUGGAUUAGCUAGUUGGUAGGGUAAAAGCCUACCAAGGCGACGAUCCAUAGCUGGUCUGAGAGGAUGAGCAGCCACACUGGGACUGAGACACGGCCCAGACUCCUACGGGAAGCAGCAGUGGGGAAUAUUGGACAAUGGGCGAAAGGCUGAUCCAGCAAUGCCGCGUGAGUGAUGAAGGCCUUAGGGUUGUAAAGCUCUUUUAACCGGGAUGAUAAUGACAGUACCGGGAGAAUAAGCUCCGGCUAACUCCGUG
Molecule: ribosomal RNA, 433 nt
Filed under: uncultured bacterium
Lineage: Bacteria
Description: partial 16S ribosomal RNA
Rfam family: Bacterial small subunit ribosomal RNA
Source: RNAcentral